CUUGAGGCAAGUAGGGGCGCAUGGAACUCUUGGUGGAGCGGUGGAAUGCGUAGAUAUCAAGAGGAACGCCGAUGGUGAAGACAGUGCACUGGGCUUGUCCUGACGCUGAGGUGCGAAAGCGUGGGGAGCGAACGGGAUUAGAUACCCCGGUAGUCCACGCCGUAAACGAUGCCUACUAGGUCGUGGUUGUUCUGACACACUCACGGCCGAAGCAAAAGUGUUUAGUAGGCCGCCUGGGGAGUACGGUCGCAAGGCUAAAACUCAAAGGAAUUGACGGGGGCUCACACAAGCGGUGGAGCAUGUGGAUUAAUUCGAAGCAACGCGCAGAACCUUACCUGGGUUUGACAUGUAUGGAUGCCUGCUGUGAAAACAGUUAGGUUGCCUUCGGGUGAAACUUACACAGGUGCUGCAUGGCUGUCGUCAGCUCGUGUCGUGAGAUGUCGGGUUAAGUCCUUUAACGAGCGAAACCCUUGCCCUUAGUUGCCAGCGGGUCAUGCCGGGGACUCUAACGGGACUGCCGGUGUCAAACCGGAGGAAGGUGGGGAUGACGUCAAGUCCUCAUGGCCUUUAUGCCCAGGGCCUCACACUUGCUACAAUGGGUGCUACAGAGCGACGCGAGACCGCGAGGUGGGGCUAAUCGCAAAAAAGCAUCCUCAGUUCGGAUUGCAGGCUGGCAAUUCGCCUGC
This 686-nucleotide ribosomal RNA is filed under the name uncultured organism. RNAcentral's name for it is "bacterial SSU rRNA". It matches the Rfam family "Bacterial small subunit ribosomal RNA", at positions 641 to 1319 of the family's 1533-position model. The record is from RNAcentral.